CUGUCUGCUGUGGCCAUUGUUUGCUGUGGCUGCUGGCAGAAAUUGAUGCUGUGCUGGAGCUGGGGGCCAAGCAUCUGACUUGGGGAUGCGGAAUUCUAUUCACCUUUCCUGUAGUGUGGAGCACGUUGGGUGUGAUUGAGAUGUGUGGCACUGACAUGUGUGGUUUGUAGUGUAGAGGAUAUUCCUAUCCCUGUACUUCCUUCUGUCAUAGUAAGCCCUUAACCCAGUUCCUUCCUAAUUUGUUGCUGGUAAUUUAAAUUAUUAAAUUAUUGCUAGUUAUUUUUUUAUAUUGAUUCUCCAAGAAGGGAAUUCCUGGUCUGCCUGGUGGAAAAGAUGUUUUAAAAUAAUUGUCAAUAAAUCUCUAUUAAAUGAUUGUA
Molecule: long non-coding RNA, 377 nt
Organism: Pygocentrus nattereri (red-bellied piranha)
Lineage: Eukaryota; Metazoa; Chordata; Actinopteri; Characiformes; Serrasalmidae
Exons: 2
Source: RefSeq, a predicted model, not a curated record